Molecule: non-coding RNA, 501 nt
Organism: Mus caroli (Ryukyu mouse)
Lineage: Eukaryota; Metazoa; Chordata; Mammalia; Rodentia; Muridae
Source: RefSeq, a predicted model, not a curated record
AUCAUUUUACCAGCAGCUAAACAACGCUACUCUUCUGUUCCAUUAGAAAGAGAAGAUUCUGGAAGAUGAAGUUUCUUCUUCUUGCUCUAGCCUGUUUGGUUUCUGGCAACAAGCAACCCUUACAGUUUUCAGGGAAAUUCAAUACUAUCUAUCUAGCAAGUAAAUCUAUGGGAGCAACAGCUGAAAAUAGUCCAGAGCGUAUUCUGAUGCGUGAGGUUAACUUUUUUAAGAAAAACAGUGUCAUGAGCAUGACGUUUUAUGUCAGCAACUGGAACAAAUGUCACUAAAGAAAUGUGGGACGAAUACGUGAAGCUAAAUGAGUACCUCAAAAUUCCUAUUGAAAAUAUUGAAAAUGUCUAUGAAACAGAUGUGUGUCCUAAAUAGGAGCCUUGAUGUCAUGAGCAGAAAAUUUGUAUUGGUCACCAUUUUCAAUUCACUGGAAUUAAAUUUUGAGGUCAAUUCAAGACUGUAAACACAAAGUAUUUACAAUUGCCACUCAGG